Molecule: ribosomal RNA, 440 nt
Filed under: uncultured bacterium
Lineage: Bacteria
Description: partial 16S ribosomal RNA
Rfam family: Bacterial small subunit ribosomal RNA
Source: RNAcentral
CCUACGGGUGGCAGCAGUAGGGAAUAUUGCUCAAUGGGGGAAACCCUGAAGCAGCAACGCCGCGUGGAGGAUGAAGGUUUUCGGAUUGUUAACUUCUUUUGUUAGAGAAGAUAAUGACGGUAUCUAACGAAUAAGCACCGGCUAACACCGUGACAGCAGCCGCGGGAAUACGGAGGGUGCAAGCGUUACUGGGAAUCACUGGGCGUAAAGAGCGGGUAGGCGGGAUAGCAAGUCAGAUGUGAAAUGCUAUGGGUUAACCAUAGAACGGCAUUUGAAACUGUUAUUCUAGAGUAUGGGAGAGGUAGGUGGAAGUCUUGGUGUAGGGGUAAAAUCCGUAGAGAUCAAGAGGAAUACUCAUUGCGAAGGCGACCUGCUAGAACAUAACUGACGCUGAUGCGCGAAAGCGUGGGGAGCAAACAGGAUUAGAUACCCGGGUAGUC